Molecule: ribosomal RNA, 496 nt
Filed under: uncultured bacterium
Lineage: Bacteria
Description: bacterial SSU rRNA
Rfam family: Bacterial small subunit ribosomal RNA
Source: RNAcentral
AGGACGAACGCUGGCGGCGUGCUUAACACAUGCAAGUCGAACGAGGGGAUUAGAAGCUUGCUUUUAUGACCCGAGUGGCAAACGGGUGAGUAACGCGUAGACAACCUGCCUCUCAGAUGGGGACAACAUCCCGAAAGGGGUGCUAAUACCGAAUGUUGUGCAACCUCCACAUGGAGGAUGCACCAAAGGUGGUUUCGGCCACCGCUGAGAGAUGGGUCUGCGUCUGAUUAGCUUGUUGGCGGGGUAACGGCCCACCAAGGCGACGAUCAGUAGGGGUUCUGAGAGGAAGGUCCCCCACAUUGGAACUGAGACACGGUCCAAACUCCUACGGGAGGCAGCAGUGAGGAAUAUUGGUCAAUGGACGAGAGUCUGAACCAGCCAAGUAGCGUGCAGGAUGACGGCCCUAUGGGUUGUAAACUGCUUUUAUAAGGGAAUAAAGUGAGAGUCGUGACUCUUUUUGCAUGUACCUUAUGAAUAAGGACCGGCUAAUUCCGUG